This 281-nucleotide small RNA is filed under the name Arabidopsis thaliana (thale cress). RNAcentral's name for it is "ATSL191090". Lineage: Eukaryota; Viridiplantae; Streptophyta; Magnoliopsida; Brassicales; Brassicaceae. The record is from RNAcentral.
AAAAAAUUAUGUUCAAAGAUAUUCGCUAAGCGCUAAUCAGAUGCUCGGGCAAGGUUGUUAACAAUUUUCUUUAUUUUAUUUUAUUUUUUAUUAUUUUUUUAAUAUCAAGAGGUUUUGGGCCGAGACACGUAAUCUCCAAAGUCCGUAACAAUUUUCUUUAUUUAUCUUUCAAAAUAAUGAACAUGUCGAGAUAUUUUCAUGUAUAUCUUUUUUUAUGAGAUGACAAUGAACAAAGAGACUGAGACAUUCAUUUGAGUUUGGUGAGAUAUAUAAUUAAGAAA